UCUUGAUAGAGGAAACUUUUUUUUUUCUAGGAUGUUUAUUUUUUAUAAGAAUCUCUAUAUUUGUACAUAUUUUGUAUAGUUUGUUAGAUAUGUAAUGUAUGGAUGUGUUUGGUUCAUUUACAACAUCUUAUAAAAAAAUCUAGAAAGUAAAGGCUGGGCCUGAGUAUUUUCCAUAAUUAAUGAAUUAUUCACUAUUGUUCUAUAUACAGUUCUAUCAGUAGGUGGUGCUGUUUGAAGUACUGUUUGAAGAUGUUUAUGUUCUCUAUGGUAUCUACUUGUUUGUCUGAAUAAAAUACUGCAUCGAG
Molecule: long non-coding RNA, 305 nt
Organism: Spea bombifrons (plains spadefoot toad)
Lineage: Eukaryota; Metazoa; Chordata; Amphibia; Anura; Pelobatidae
Exons: 2
Source: RefSeq, a predicted model, not a curated record